RNAcentral lists this ribosomal RNA (656 nucleotides) under uncultured bacterium. RNAcentral describes it as "bacterial SSU rRNA". It matches the Rfam family "Bacterial small subunit ribosomal RNA", at positions 164 to 822 of the family's 1533-position model. The record is from RNAcentral.
GCAGAUCGCAUGAUGCAGCUUUUGAAAGGCGGCGUAAGCUGUCGCUAAGGGAUGGCCCCGCGGUGCAUUAGCUAGUUGGUAAGGUAACGGCUUACCAAGGCGACGAUGCAUAGCCGAGUUGAGAGACUGAUCGGCCACAUUGGGACUGAGACACGGCCCAAACUCCUACGGGAGGCAGCAGUAGGGAAUCUUCCACAAUGGACGCAAGUCUGAUGGAGCAACGCCGCGUGAGCGAAGAAGGUUUUCGGAUCGUAAAGCUCUGUUGUUGGUGAAGAAGGAUAGAGGUAGUAACUGGCCUUUAUUUGACGGUAAUCAACCAGAAAGUCACGGCUAACUACGUGCCAGCAGCCGCGGUAAUACGUAGGUGGCAAGCGUUGUCCGGAUUUAUUGGGCGUAAAGCGAGCGCAGGCGGAAAAAUAAGUCUAAUGUGAAAGCCCUCGGCUUAACCGAGGAACUGCAUCGGAAACUGUUUUUCUUGAGUGCAGAAGAGGAGAGUGGAACUCCAUGUGUAGCGGUGGAAUGCGUAGAUAUAUGGAAGAACACCAGUGGCGAAGGCGGCUCUCUGGUCUGCAACUGACGCUGAGGCUCGAAAGCAUGGGUAGCGAACAGGAUUAGAUACCCUGGUAGUCCAUGCCGUAAACGAUGAGUGCUAAGUG